This 449-nucleotide ribosomal RNA is filed under the name uncultured bacterium. RNAcentral describes it as "partial 16S ribosomal RNA". It matches the Rfam family "Bacterial small subunit ribosomal RNA", at positions 29 to 523 of the family's 1533-position model. The record is from RNAcentral.
AACGAACGCUGGCGGCAUGCCUAACACAAGCAAGUCGAACGAAGGCUUCGGCCUUAGUGGCGCACGGGUGCGUAACGCGUGGGAAUCUGCCCCUCGGUUCGGAAUAACAGUUAGAAAUGACUGCUAAUACCGGAUGAUGACUUCGGUCCAAAGAUUUAUCGCCGAGGGAUGAGCCCGCGUAAGAUUAGGUAGUUGGUGGGGUAAAGGCCUACCAAGCCGACGAUCUUUAGCUGGUCUGAGAGGAUGAUCAGCCACACUGGGACUGAGACACGGCCCAGACUCCUACGGGAGGCAGCAGUGGGGAAUAUUGGACAAUGGGCGAAAGCCUGAUCCAGCAAUGCCGCGUGAGUGAUGAAGGCCUUAGGGUUGUAAAGCUCUUUUACCAGGGAUGAUAAUGACAGUACCUGGAGAAUAAGCUCCGGCUAACUCCGUGCCAGCCGCCGCAGUAA